CCUACGGGGGGCAGCAGUGAGGAAUAUUGGUCAAUGGACGAGAGUCUGAACCAGCCAAGUAGCGUGAAGGAUGACUGCCCUAUGGGUUGUAAACUUCUUUUAUAUGGGAAUAAAAUGUUCCACGUGUGGGAUUUUGUAUGUACCAUAUGAAUAAGGAUCGGCUAACUCCGUGCCAGCAGCCGUGGUAAUACGGAGGAUCCGAGCGUUAUCCGGAUUUAUUGGGUUUAAAGGGAGCGUAGGUGGAUUGUUAAGUCAGUUGUGAAAGUUUGCGGCUCAACCGUAAAAUUGCAGUUGAAACUGGCAGUCUUGAGUACAGUAGAGGUGGGCGGAAUUCGUGGUGUAGCGGUGAAAUGCUUAGAUAUCACGAAGAACUCCGAUUGCGAAGGCAGUUCACUGGACUGCAACUGACACUGAGGCUCGAAAGUGUGGGUAUCAAACAGGAUUAGAUACCCGGGUAGUC
This 460-nucleotide ribosomal RNA is filed under the name uncultured bacterium. Its description in RNAcentral is "partial 16S ribosomal RNA". It matches the Rfam family "Bacterial small subunit ribosomal RNA", at positions 338 to 795 of the family's 1533-position model. The record is from RNAcentral.